GUGCUUGCUUUGGCAGCACAUGUACUAAAAUUGGAACAAUACAGCAAAGAUUAGCAUGAGCCCUGCACAAGGAUGAAACCCAAGGACUGAGGAUAUAAAGAGGAGCUC
Molecule: small nuclear RNA, 108 nt
Organism: Gracilinanus agilis (Agile Gracile Mouse Opossum)
Lineage: Eukaryota; Metazoa; Chordata; Mammalia; Didelphimorphia; Didelphidae
Source: RefSeq, a predicted model, not a curated record